RNAcentral lists this transfer RNA (60 nucleotides) under Fruticicola koreana. RNAcentral's name for it is "tRNA-Ser". Lineage: Eukaryota; Metazoa; Mollusca; Gastropoda; Stylommatophora; Camaenidae. The record is from RNAcentral.
AAUAAUAAUAAGGUAGCGUUGGGGCUGCUAACCACGACAUGGGAUUAUUUCCGCCUUUUU